Molecule: non-coding RNA, 3006 nt
Organism: Taeniopygia guttata (zebra finch)
Lineage: Eukaryota; Metazoa; Chordata; Aves; Passeriformes; Estrildidae
Source: RefSeq, a predicted model, not a curated record
AGGAGGGUGCGCCUCCCCUCAGCCUCCACCGCGCCAAAACGAGGGGGAGGGUCCUGUUGCUUUUUAUUUAAAGCCGCAAUUAAAAUUAAUCUGGGAGGGCAAUAAUUAGGUAGGAAAUGGAGGGAUGGAUGUAAAAGUAUAUGUGUACUGCGGUGUCAUUACUUGUCGAUGGCGAUUAAGGGAGUCCUGCUGUCUGGAAAUUGGCUUUGCCUCCCAGGAAACCUGAGGGAAGCGCUGCCCUAGUUAAUGCUGCUGUAGCUCUUGGGAGAGGUUUGGAGUGAAAUAGAUACAGGUUUUCUUUUGAAAUAUGCUCUUGAAUAAAUUAGUUUGCGUCCAGAAAUGGCAUCUGUUUUCCCUGGCUCAGAUAUUUUUCUAGAAAAAGUGUUUAGGUAUGCAGCUCACAUGGAAAGUGGGACUAAUAUCUAAGCAGCUUUGAAAAUCGGUGGUGUAUUGUUUUGAGUUAGAAAUGCCUGUUUAAUUCCAAAGUUUGAAUACAGCAAUGCUGUGGGGUCAGUAACCCCUGGAGAAGAAAAGGAUGGGCCCUUAGCUGUAGAUGUUAUGAAGUGGAAAACUUAAGUGUUUGGAAGGGUUACGUGGCUGGGUGUUCAGUGGCACCAUCUAACAACAAAGCUUCUCUUUUCUUUUCAAGGAAGUAGCUGAAAACACUGGCUGCAUCUCUGUGUCUCUUGGAGGUCACUUGCUGAUUUAUCUCCAAUUCGCAGCUCAUUAGAAGGUGUGUAACUCUUCAGAGAUGUUGUUAUUUAACAGCUGAAAGUUAUUAUGUAAAACGGGUAAAUUGGAGUCUUUAAAGGAGCUGCCAACUUAAAUUUGCCUGAGUUUCUUCAGCAGUGGAGAGGAGAGGAAGAAUUCCAGACACGUCAUCCUGAUUUCACAAGUCUGCAGAGAUCUCCAGAGUGGACUUACCCAUCUGUGUGAGCUGCCAAAAGGUGAAGACAACCACUUUAUCUGCAAGAGAAUAUUCAUUUAUGGGACUUCCCUGGUGACAUAGGUUUGAAAUGGGAAAAUGAGCUUAAAGUCUUCUUCAAGAGAGAUUUACUCACAGUUUUCUCCAGUGUCAUUCAGGGGCCAAGCUUUCAAGUCUUCCAGAUUUGGACUUGUUUUGAUUUCAUUGCAAAAUCCUGCAAGAAUUCUGCCAACAGCAAGGCCAAUGUGUCUGAAAAGAGAUGGCAUUUCCAGUACCUAAAGGUUGAUUGCUUUGAGUCUGUAAGGUCAUCAUGGUUGAAGGCAUGAAGAUGAGGACAUCAAAGCCUUUGCCCACUUAUGACAAUUACUCUGGAGACAAACACAGCCCAGAAGACAAAUGUUAUGAGCUACCUGUAAGUUCUGGUUCACAAAACAGAUGAGAAUCCAGAGAUACUUCUGAACUUGGAAAUGAAAUUUAUUCUCAAGGAGGCUUUAUUUCCCGGAGAGUACCACGGGCAAGCAGUGUCUCAGAAUUCACCAGCCAUGGAUGUGAUUGUUCUCCAUUGUCUUGCUGUUCUCAGGUCCUGUGCAUGGAACUGGGAAAGCUUCAAGGUUGAAUUCAAAAUUCCUCAGUUGAUAUCUUAGGUUUCUUCCCUCAUUUGUAGAUAUUUUAUCAGCUCCUUAUCCUGCGUUUAGGUUUACUGACAAAUGAUGUUCUGCACUUGUGCUGGGAUCCUACAGAAGGGUUUAUUGGGAUGAAUGUGCCAGGACUGAUGAACCAGAUCCCAAAAUGCAUUAUGUACAGAAGUGGGCUGAGGUCCUCAAACCUGGGAGGUGCAGCCACGCCAAAGCCAGUGCCAGACACUAAUCCUCUCCUCCAGACACUGAGCUGUGCUGUUUGAGGGAAAAGAAAUGGGGAAAUGAUCCUGGAAUCAAUUCAGACUUGCAAGAACCAUUAUCCUGGAUAUCCAAAUCUACCCAACCCUUUUUACCAAAUGAUUUUUUCCUCUUAGUGCUACAGCCAUACCAACUCUCACGUGCUUAAUGCUGCUUUCCCCAUGUCCUUCAUCCCCUUGGAGAUGAAGAACCUCUCCCGCAGGGACACCACGGUGCCGCUGGGACUCCCAAGGGGCUCGGGCUGGCCCUGGGCACCCAGGAAUGCUCCUCGCAGCCCUGGGCUGCAGCCAGCCCAGGGAAAACCAUCUGUUCCCUUUGGAAAGGGGUUUGCUUCCCCCCGGAGCCCUCCCCCCGCAUCCCGGCUCCGGCCCCAGCUGCCGUGUUUCGAUGAGCACUGAGGGAAUGAAUCUCCUGCGUUUAAAAAUACUCUGCUUCUAUUUAGAUGAAAAGAAGAAUCUUGCUUGCCUACACUGGCAUACAAAAAUAGGCUCAGUGUGAGUAAAUCUUCAAAGUUUCUCUUGGUGAAUAUAUCUAGCCUCACUUUUUUUUUUUUUUAACUUAUAUGAUAAGUUUAUUUAUAGAGUGUCCUUCUUUCCUCCUACUCUAUCAAGACAUUUGCAGAAGGUUGUCGCUCGUCUUGUUCAGGAGUCCUGAAAUAAUUUGCAGUGCCUUUGAAACAUCAUCGUGUUGCAUAGUUGUGAUCAACGUGCUGCUGUUGCAUGAACAUAUCAUAUUUUAAUGUGAAUGUCAGGUUAGCUGAGACAUUCAGGGCUUUCUUUGACUUUAGCUGCUUUACACUGGUUUGUGUUUUCGCUUGAACACUGCAGUAAAAAUUCUGCAUAUAGUAAUUUAAAAUUUUCCAUUUUACAUGCAAGGCAUUGCCUAGAAAAUUAAUGUGUAAUAUGAGAGGAUUAGUAAGAUGUAUACACUUUCCAAACAUCUCUUAAAAAUAGCUUUCACUGUCACUGUAGCAUCUUAAUUCUGAAUAAUCUCACAGUCCUUCUGCAAAUCUGUGCAUGUAGUAACAGAGAAGCCACCUACUUCAUCCUCUUGAACUGCACAAUAUGGAUCUGGGCAUGGAAAAAAAUGGGUUUUGGAGUAGGGCUCUGCUUUGGCAGAGAGGCUGUCUGUGGAACUACUGAGAGCAUUAACGCUUGCAUUAAAUAUUAAAAUCAGCUUUCACAA